Molecule: ribosomal RNA, 399 nt
Filed under: uncultured bacterium
Lineage: Bacteria
Description: bacterial SSU rRNA
Rfam family: Bacterial small subunit ribosomal RNA
Source: RNAcentral
GAGCGGGUGUAGCAAUACAUCAGCGGCAGACGGGUGAGUAACGCGUGGGAACGUACCUUUUGGUUCGGAACAACCCAGGGAAACUUGGGCUAAUACCGGAUAAGCCCUUACGGGGAAAGAUUUAUCGCUGAAGGAUCGGCCCGCGUCUGAUUAGCUAGUUGGUGGGGUAAUGGCCCACCAAGGCGACGAUCAGUAGCUGGUCUGAGAGGAUGAUCAGCCUCACUGGGACUGAGACACGGCCCAGACUCCUACGGGAGGCAGCAGUGGGGAAUAUUGGACAAUGGGCGCAAGCCUGAUCCAGCCAUGCCGCGUGGGUGAUGAAGGCCCUAGGGUUGUAAAGCCCUUUCGGCGGGGAAGAUAAUGACGGUACCCGCAGAAGAAGCCCCGGCUAACUUCGUG